Molecule: long non-coding RNA, 1301 nt
Organism: Bombina bombina (fire-bellied toad)
Lineage: Eukaryota; Metazoa; Chordata; Amphibia; Anura; Bombinatoridae
Exons: 4
Source: RefSeq, a predicted model, not a curated record
UUCGGCCAAGCCACAAUUCACCCUUUUUUUGCGCACCUCCAGGAGAGUCCACUUUCUCUUUUAUUUUAUACGUAUAUGCAUUUGUGAUUGGCUGAUUGCUAUCACAUGGCACAGGGGGAGUGGAAAUAUACAUAACUUUAAAAUGUGUUAGAAAAGAAUCUACUACUCAUUUGAAAUUCAGAGUAAAUGCUAAUGUAUUGUUUUGUUAUCUUGCAUUUGUUGAUUAUGCAAAUCUGCUGUGUUUACUGGUCCUUUAAUACAGAUAAUGUAACCUCCUCUAACCAGUAGAGGUAUAUGUUAAACUGUGGGAAAACAAUAAGGGGUGAAAAACAUACCAAGCCCCAAAUCAAUAACUUUCCUAUAAAUAAUUUUUAUUAAACCGGCAUGGAGUGCUGCUCAUAAAGAAGGUUUUAAUUUAACUUUCAAUUGAAACCUCUGUAAAAUAAUAAGUAUCACAGCUAGUAAUUUUGAGACAUAAAAUUAAGUAAUAUAAUAAACUUCUAUAUAUGUUUCAUGUGAUGAAACAUUGUGUUGAUUUAGAUAAAUUGCAUCCAAAAUGGAUUUGUGCAUGUGAUCUAUUGCUUGCCUCUGUUCUUUGUUGACACGGGCUAAUGCCCUGUCUAUGUAUCUAUGUAAAUCCUUUCUCAUAUUGUUGAACGCUUUUGUCAAUUUUUUUGUUGCAAGUAAAUUUUCAAGAAGUAAUUCUUCCGUCUGGCUAUACCGAGGUUGUGUUUCCGGUUCUGUUGGCUUGUUUGUUCCAGUUGAGGUGGUUGAUUCUGGGCUGUCUGCUCAUCCACAAUGGGGGCAUGAUGUUCUGUUGAUGGUUGGACAACGCUGACAGAUGACGAUGUUUGUUAUAACUUACGUGGAGGAGUAGUGGGCAUCUCUCCACUUCCAGAGGCUGCUACUGGUGGGAUCCGAAUCCGAGUUACUAACACUGUUAAAUAUAGAAUAAAAUCAGCACAAGCCAAGGUACUUACCAGAACUAGGCUGAGACGUGCUUGGGGCUGAUCGCCCUGCAGAGUAUUUUCGGUGAUCUGGAAAACAUCAAGGAUAAGAGACAGAUUCGUCUCUCCUACUUGAGCUUCCGUCACCAGUGACAACAGACUCUUCAAGAAGCUUGUACCGCACCUCCAUCUCCCAGCACCUCCAUCUCCCAACUGUUGAAACGCACUCUCUUUGUGGAGUGCAUCAAUGACAUCUUCUUUUUGACAAUUGCCCUGCAAUCAUAAUACCUAUAAAUCAAAUAGAAAACAUAUUUUUGGUUAGAAAAUAAUUAAAAAAAAACAUUUGAAAAACUA